AUUGAACGCUGGCGGCAUGCCUUACACAUGCAAGUCGAACGGUAACAGGUCUUCGGAUGCUGACGAGUGGCGAACGGGUGAGUAAUACAUCGGAACGUGCCCGAUCGUGGGGGAUAACGAGGCGAAAGCUUUGCUAAUACCGCAUACGAUCUACGGAUGAAAGCGGGGGAUCUUCGGACCUCGCGCGGACGGAGCGGCCGAUGGCAGACUAGGUAGUUGGUGGGAUAAAAGCUUACCAAGCCGACGAUCUGUAGCUGGUCUGAGAGGAUGAUCAGCCACACUGGGACUGAGACACGGCCCAGACUCCUACGGGAGGCAGCAGUGGGGAAUUUUGGACAAUGGGCGAAAGCCUGAUCCAGCCAUGCCGCGUGCAGGAUGAAGGCCUUCGGGUUGUAAACUGCUUUUGUACGGAACGAAAAGCCUCUUUCUAAUAAAGAGGGGUCAUGACGGUACCGUAAGAAUAAGCACCGGCUAACUACGUG
RNAcentral lists this ribosomal RNA (482 nucleotides) under uncultured bacterium. Its description in RNAcentral is "partial 16S ribosomal RNA". It matches the Rfam family "Bacterial small subunit ribosomal RNA", at positions 30 to 507 of the family's 1533-position model. The record is from RNAcentral.